Molecule: non-coding RNA, 2383 nt
Organism: Rhopilema esculentum
Lineage: Eukaryota; Metazoa; Cnidaria; Scyphozoa; Rhizostomeae; Rhizostomatidae
Source: RefSeq, a predicted model, not a curated record
UCUAUGAACAGAAUAAGCCAUCUUUUCAGAAUAAGCCACGACUCUGCCCCUUGACUAAGUAACAUAUUUGGCAAUAAAAAGAAAGUUUUAUGUGGACACUAAGGGCCAUAAGCUCUACUUCAGAUUGCUAGGCUUGCUUUCUUCCGGAAUCUCUACUCCAUGACUUAGCAGAAUGUAAAGCAGGGGUUCUUAAGUAUUUCGAGUGCCGGGCCCGAGAAUAUGAUAAGCAGGCCUUUUGUUUCGUGUUCUUAUUCAUUCAAUGUUCAGUUACUUAUUUUCAUAAAAUAAGAUUUGAAAAUGUGGAUGAUUGAAGUGAGAGAGGGAGGCCAAUGAUGGCACGGAAGAACAGGAUGCUGGAGGGAUUGCCUCAAUUUGGAAUACACGAAAGAGUCACAGGCUCAAGGCCAGGGUAGCUCUCUUGCGGGGGGGGGGGGGAGAUUCUCGAAAAGCCCAAAACUGUAGCAUAGUAUAUAAACCCUAUAAAAAAGUUAGCACAAAAUUGUGUAACUUUGCGUUUCUUGUACCAGAAAAUCAUUGUUAACGCUAAGAUUAGGACGAUAAGUUCAUGGUAUAGCUUUUUGCUGAUAUUAAGGAAAAAGCCUGAAUAUUGUUAUAACAUGAUGAAAUGCAUUGAGCUGCCAUCUCGUGUCGUUCUUAUAAUACAGUUUUCUUUUAUAGAAACGGUUUCUUUUCUUUUACAACAUAUCCUUAUGAUUCACUUAAUCAGUGUGACAUGAUCACAGUUGAGGUUGCGCUCUUCAGUUGAGCCCUAGCCGGGGCAUUUCCUCGAAAGAUAUUUUUAGAGAAACGUGUCGUACCUGCUAGUGGUCACAACAUUCCAUCUUAAAGUGUGCGAAUAAAGGAGAGGCCACGAUAGCAGGCUGCUCGACGGACUCCGGAGGAAAUCUUGCGGCGAAAAAACGAUAAAAUAGUUCAAUCUGAAAAUCGCUUCGUGGAAGUGAGAUCCACCAAGAAUCUUUUUUAAGGCUUUCUUUUUUAAAAUCAUACCUCGUUUUAGAUGAUAAUGAAUUUUUUCUUGUCCUACUCAGUAAAGGCUGGCCACUUAGCUUGAUCCUUAAAUUGUCUAUGAGUAAAUUUUGAAAGAUGCAAAGAAGACAUCUUGAAAAGCAGCCAAAGUGAUCAUCCUAUUUUGGUAAUAAAGCAUUCUGUGCUUGUCUUUAAUUGUAGUCUUUUGAAAUAUUCAGACUGUGUCCUUUGUUGGGAGAAAAAAAAAUCUUCCACAAAUUUUCGCCUGAGCUGUCUUAGAAUUUAACAUUUAAGGCAAUAGAAAGGGGUGCGGGUUAAAAUACUGACAUGUAACGGGAUUGAGUUGCAAGCAGAUUGAAAUAACAGUUUUUGGUAUUAUCCAGUCAUUCCUAAACGAAAACAAAAGGAAAUUUCAGAUUGACUCUGAGGUAGCUGUGGAAACUUGGCACAACACAGGGUGCGCUGUCAGCUUAAACCUGAAAACUUCUCUAUGUAAUGGAAAAUCUUUCUAUGUAAUGGAGUAAAAACAACUUUUGCUAAUUACAAAUCAAACAACAAAAUCAAGCAAAACAUUUUCAUGCAAAUAUAGUUAACUGAGCUACCUUUUUUUCAUUUUGUCACUAGGAUCCUCAUAUGUUUCAGAAAGCUCUAAAAAUACAUUGGAUAAAUGAGAGCUUUUCUUCUGUUCAUUUUACGUGCAUCGUAAUAUUAUAGACCUACCGUUCCCCCGGAUCCUAGAUCAAAAUAUAUUGAUAAAACAACAAUAGCAUAUCUGUUGGGUAUAAAAACAGGUGACAAACAUCACCAACUACAGUUCUGCAAGGUGCUCUGCUGGCUGCUUCAAACAGAAUUUCCCCCGAACAAGGCUAAGAUGAUCUUACUGCUGCUUUCAGUUUUGGUGGCCUGUGUGGGUUCUAAAGAGAUCACGUGUAACACUUUCAACGAAGGUCUUAUAGUAUCAGGCAAUGUGUGCAAUUUUGAAUGCUGCUUAUCUCUAAGCCUACGGGAAAUGCUUCUUAUAGACGAUUCGGGGACCAAAGGUGACAUGGCGCUCCAGGAAGCAUCUACAAAAAAUCACGACAAGGUUGGCGGAAACUGCCCUCCCUUUGCUAAAAAGGGGAAGUCUUGCAACGAGAAUGGACAUACAUACCCACAUAAGGCUUUCAUAGAAUACGAUGACUAUCGGUCCCGCAUCUGCAACAACGGUGAAGUUUUUAAUUAUGCCAGAGUGAUGUUAUUAAGAUUUGGAUGAGCUAAACACGAGACAUCCUACAAUCAUGAAACUAUUAUUCUAUUUGAUUUAUUCCUUCAGUAAAUAAAAAUUUUAAAGCAGAAAAAAGUCGUGCUUCUUUACAUGUCUAAAAUUAUUGAUUCAUAGUAAAUGAUUGAAACAGGA